AUGGAGAACCAGAAAGGUUAGGGAAUCGCGGUGAGAGAUUGAUUUGCUAGGUUUCUGCUGGGUUUUGUAGGGUGUGGGUUCAGAGAGAUUGGCAGAGAGAUUGGCAGCGGUGGUGGGGUUUACUGGAUGUUUCUCGUUGUCUUCUUUUCACGGCGAAUAAGGCGGAGGAAGAAAGUGAGUGUAGUGAGAGAGAGAGAGAGAGAGAAAGAAAGAAAUCGAGAGGUGCUGGGAUUUGGGUGGGGUGGGAUUUGGGUGAGGUGCUGGGAUUUGCAGAAGAGAUGAGGGUGCGGGGGUGAGGGAUAGGUUGGGCUUUUUUUUUGUUAUUUUUGUGUUUUUGUAUUUUUUUUUUUUAAUUUUUUAAUAUUAAAGUGGGUCCAUAUUGACACGUGGCUCAAUUAUUGUCCACGUGAGUGCCACGUCAUCAAUUAACAGAAAUUCUAACGGAAAACUUAACGAAGGUAUGAAACUGUCCUAAAAUUAAGACUU
RNAcentral lists this long non-coding RNA (486 nucleotides) under Malus domestica (apple). RNAcentral describes it as "long non-coding RNA (MDOM_LNC009458)". The record is from RNAcentral. Lineage: Eukaryota; Viridiplantae; Streptophyta; Magnoliopsida; Rosales; Rosaceae.